AAUCUCUAGCAGCCGCAGAGCCACCCUUCUUCCUCUUUCACUCUCUCAUUCUCAUGUCCAUCUCUUAUCAACAUCGCUAUCUUGCAGCACAUCUGUGAAGUUUUGACCAUAUUAGGUCAGGUACAGGUACGGAUUCUUCCGUACAAGACCCUCGGUGAAUGGCGAGUCCGCGUAACAUAGGGCAAAACUACAAGACCCUUGGCGGCGGCGGCGGGGGUCAGUAUGUGUUGGACUAUCUGAAGCGAAUGCAAGCUGAGAAUCCUUGUUUCUUUUAUGCAAUUCAGGGAGUUGAUGACCUCUCCAAUGCAAAUGCAAAUAAUGUGAAUGUGAAUAAUGUGUUUUGGGCUGAUGCAGCUUCCAAGGCCAACUACAUCUAUUUUGGGGACGCUGUUAGACUUGACACUUCUUACAGGUCCAAACGCUAUAGACUACCACUUGCUACCUUCACCGGCCUCAAUCAUCACGCGCAACCUGUUCUGUUUGGCUGUGCAUUGCUCUUCAACGAGUCCCAGAGCUCCUUUAUUUGGCUUCUUCAGAAUUGGGUUCAAGCUAUGUCUGGACACCAUCCUGUCUCCAUCACCACUGAUCUUGAUCCCCUCAUCAAGAUGGCUGUUGAGCAUGUUCUUCCAAAUGUACGUCAUCGUUUUUGUAGUUGGAGCAUAUUCAAAGAAACCCAGGAGAAGCUAGCUUCUGUUUGUCAAACAAAAACAAAAACAAAAACAAACCCUGCCUUCGAGUUCGAGAUGGAGUUUAAGAAGUGCAUCAAUGAAGUUGAGACAAUCGAGGAGUUUGAGUCAUGUUGGCUCUCACUUCUAGAUAGAUGUGCUUUGACGGAUAAUGAAUGGCUUCAGUCACUUUACAAUGCUCGCCAUCACUGGGCGCAUGUCUACAUGCGAGACACCUUCUUUGGGGACCUUUCCAUGGCCGAGGCAAGUAGCCCUGUAAACUCUUUUUUUGACGGUUUUGUGAAUGCAUCCACUACCAUACAGUCAUUGAUUAAACAAUGUCAGAAAGCUAUAACAAGCUGGCAUGAAAAAGAAUUAAAGGCAGAUUUGGAUACUAUUAAUAUAACCCCCGU
Molecule: long non-coding RNA, 1078 nt
Filed under: Coffea arabica (coffee)
Lineage: Eukaryota; Viridiplantae; Streptophyta; Magnoliopsida; Gentianales; Rubiaceae
Description: long non-coding RNA (CARA_LNC007733)
Source: RNAcentral